Acinonyx jubatus (cheetah) is the source of this 3819-nucleotide long non-coding RNA. RefSeq lists it as uncharacterized. The record is from RefSeq and is a predicted model, not a curated record. The transcript is spliced from 5 exons. NCBI's taxonomy places the organism in Eukaryota, Metazoa, Chordata, Mammalia, Carnivora, Felidae.
AUAAUUCUUUAACAGAAAACUAAGUCACCUAAGCAAACCUCUACAACCUUGCUUUAAUUUUAGGGGUUAUUUCAUGCCCAGUUUAACUUUUAAAAUUAUUUUUAGUAUCUCCUUUUCCAGACUUCCAGAAAAUAGAAUGAAGUUAAACGAAAUCAAAGUAAACUGAGUAAUCUGAAAUGAAUUGAUGUCAGCAGCGAUUCCGCAAGCAGCCCUCUCCCACAUCACAUCCCCCGGGAGUGGUGAGCUCAGCACUGCAUUUAUUCUGACAGAGCAGAGGGAACACACAGACUCUGGCUGGCUCAGACCAGCUGAAAAUCCAAGGCAACCACCCUUUCUGGACAACUUUCUGCCUUUCCAGCACUUAGCAUGGCCUGAAAAUUCCUGUCUGGGGAGGCAGGACUUUAAGUCCUAGCAGGACAAAGGCAUUCACUUAACGGUGACAACCUGAAAAGCCAGUUGGUGGAAGGGCCCCACUUUCUUGCCCCCUCCAGCCCACCGAUCCAAACCUCCUAGAGGCCAUCCCACCUGCAACUGGCCUAGAGGCCAGAUAACCUCCGACUUGGACAUCAAAAGUUAGCAAAGUGCAGGAAGGAGGGGAUCAACAAGGGCAAAAUCAAAAUGCUGAUAUCUCAUUUGUUUUCGCCGUGCAGGUAACUUUUGGAUUUGCAUCCUUUUUCCUUCUCUGAUUUCAAAAAACAAAAAACAAAACCCUAAAAAUUCUUAAGUUCUGAGGAGGGACUCUGCAGCAGGAAGAGGAAUAAGAUGACAGGAUGAGUAGGGAAAAGGCUGCACGUGUUCUCUCCCCCACGUCCUCUCCCCUGUCACCCCAACACACGCGCGCGAGCUUCAACCAGUGUGUAAAAAUAGCUGCCUGGGUUUUGUUAUUCAUCCGUAAGCAGGAAUGAUGGGCGGGCUUCUCCCUGCACUGCCUGCUGCCCUUGAGUAGCUUGUACUAUCAGGUGACGCCUCACGACUCGCAGUCCCCACCCCUCGCCAGAUAAAAGUCUUCCGUGACGUUAGAAAUUUUCAUUUUAAUGGAGAAGAAAACCCGCCCCGCUUUCCGCGUCGGCGGGGCGGGAGCUCCCCUCCUCCACGCCCUAGGCCCCUGCGCCGCGAGAGCGGUUCCAUCUGUGCUCGGACAUAACGGCCUCUCUGUGCCUCCCGGCACGUCCAGCGCGAGGGCGUUCGGGCCGGAACACGCCCUCCCGCACGGGGCACAGCUUUCCCAGGGGCCUGGGGAGAGGCUCUGGCCUUUCCUAAUGAGGGCCAGGCGCCUCCCCUGUGGGCUCGAUCCAGGCAGGCGCACCCCGUCCCCCCGGAGUACACUGAUUGCCUCAGGGGGGUGGGGGGAGGGAGUCGCGGACGAUCCCUGCACAGCCUCCCCGGCGACCAGAGCUAGCGCAUGCGUGGAGAGGCUCCGGACGCUGGCGGCAUGAGGCCGCGCAUGCGCCAGCCAGCCUUGGGGCGGGGGGGCUGUCCGCGGAGAUUGGAGCUCCUCUGGUUUAGGCCCUUGUCUGUUUCCUGGCAGCACCUCAGGGACACUGCAGUAUUGGAAGAGAGCCACAGAAUGCUUAGAGCUCCUUAGAGAGCAUCUGUUUCAUGCCUCCAUUUUACAGAUGAGGAAAUAGAGCCAAAGAGGCGAUGGGAAGUGACCAAAGCUGCAUUUCUGAAUUCUGACACCUGGGACCAGAUCCAGCUCUUAUUGGCCUGGUUUAGUGUAACGUGGAAGAUGAUAUCAAUUCCACUUUGGCAGUUGAAGAAAUGGACGUUCAGAGAGGAACAAGGUGUGCAGUGAAGGACCUCAGGUGCUGUGCUGCAUUUUGACAGUUCCUUAGAAGAAAACACUCCUGCCUGUUCUAUUCAAUCCCAGUCCAGUAUUUGAGUCUGCACGAUGCCACCACUCGGAGUCUCCUGUGCUGGCACCUACAUUGCAAAGCUCUGUGGUAUCUAUACUGAAGUGGACCAGGAGGCUACCUAUGAGCAGAAAUGUGAUCCUGGGCCACACUGAAAAACACUGGGGCAGGAAUAAGCCAGCAAGUGUAUGAGAUACAUCUGGUGAGAAUGGUAAUUCAUCUAGUUUCUUAAACUAGUAUUAUGGGCUAAAUUGUGACCCCCACCCCCGAUUUUAUACAUUGAAGUCCUCACCCCCAAUACCUCAGAAUGUGACCACAUUUGGAGAUAGGGCCUUUAAGGAGGCAUUUAAAUGAAAAUAAGGUCAUUGGGGUGGACCCUGAUCCAAUAUGACUGGUGACCUUAUAGGGAGAGAAGAUUAGGACACGCACACCAAGGAAAGAGAAUGUGAAGACACAGUAAGUAGACAGCCAUCUGCAAACCAAGGAGAGGAGACCUCAGGAUUUAGGAAUUUAAGAAAGAUAAUACAGUGCACGUGUUAUGGCUGCAUAACAUCCUGUAGCAUCUACAACAGUAUCCUGCAAUCAAACAUGCUAAUGUGUCUGUAGUGAGAUGUAUAUGUUGCAUAAAUAAAGCCUAUAAGUAGCCAUGUAUCAUCUUAAGACAGAUUUUUGUGCCAAAUGAAUCUGUUUCAGGUCAAGUUUUGCUGCCAAAUGAGUUAUAAAUACCAUCUUUGGUAUUCAGAGCUUUUAGGGCUUUGAAAUGGUGGACCUUUAGUAUCCCUGCCUUACAGAUGAAGAAACUGAGACACAAGGAAAUAAAACACCUUAUCCGCUUUUAUUAACCCAUGGGAGGUGGGACUAGGCUACCGACCCAGGCAGCCUGGCUUCAGAGUCCGCGCCCUUCACGUCCACCUGGCGGCACCCUUCAGUACCGCCUGCCUGCCAGCGCCGGAUCUGCCGCAGAAUUUCACACCAAGCUGGCGGCCUUGCUGUGAGGACCAGAGAGUGCAGGUAGAGUUCUGUGAUGGGUUGAAUUGUCUUUCUCCCCCCAAAUUCAUAUGUUGAAGUCCUAACCCUAGUACCUCAGAAUUUAACCUUAUAUGGAGACAGGGUCUUUGCAGAUAUAAUUAGUUGAAUUACAAUGAGGCUAUUAAGAUGGGCCCUAAUUCAAUAUGGCUGGUGUCCUUUUUUAAAAAAGAAAUUUGGGGGCACCUGGGUGGCUCAGUCCAUUGAGCAUCUGACUCUUGAUUUUGGCUCGGGUUGUGAUCCCAGGGCCAUGAGAUUGAGCCCCGCGUCUAGGCUCUGCACUGAGCAUGGAGCCUGCUUGGGAUUCUCCUCUCUCUCUCUCUCUCUCUCUCUCUCUCUCCUUGUGCCCCUCUCCCCAGCUCAUGUGCUCUCUCUCUUUCUCUGAAAAAAAAAAUUAAAAAAAGAAUUUGGACACAGAGACAGAGGUGCACUCUGGCAGAAUGCCAUGUAAAUAUGAACGCAGAGAUGAGGGUGAUCUUUCCACAGGCCAAGGAAUGCCCAAGAUUGCCAGCAACACGCCAGAGGCUAGGAGCGUGGAACAGUCACGCUGAGCCUUUGGAAGGAAGCUACCCUGGCGAUACCUUGAUUUUAAACUUGUAGCCUCCAGAAUGUGAGACAGAUUUCUGUUCGAGCCCCCCAGUUUGUAGUGCUUUGUUACAGCCGCCUUAGCAAACUAACAUAAUUUCUUCAUGCAGGUCCCAGAGUUCAAGUGGGAGACUAAUAAAUGGUAGCUAACCAACUUUCUACCUUUGUCAUGGAGGCUGCAGAAAAUAAAGAAGGUGCAUUAGAUGAUUUCUAAGGCCACUUACAAGUUGCAGGCCUAAUUUUCUUUCUUUCUUUCUUUCAUAUUUAUUUUUAUGUUGGGGAGGGGCAGAGAGAGAGGGAGACACAGAAUCCGCAGCAGGCUUCAGCCUCUGAGCACAGAGCCUGAUGCGGAGCU